This 497-nucleotide ribosomal RNA is filed under the name uncultured bacterium. Its description in RNAcentral is "partial 16S ribosomal RNA". It matches the Rfam family "Bacterial small subunit ribosomal RNA", at positions 28 to 507 of the family's 1533-position model. The record is from RNAcentral.
GAUGAACGCUGGCGGCGUGCCUAAUACAUGCAAGUCGAGCGAACAGACGCGGAGCUUGCUCCUCUGAUGUUAGCGGCGGACGGGUGAGUAACACGUGGAUAACCUACCUAUAAGACUGGGAUAACUUCGGGAAACCGGAGCUAAUACCGGAUAACAUGUUGAACCGCAUGGUUCAACAGUGAAAGACGGUCUUGCUGUCACUUAUAGAUGGAUCCGCGCGGCAUUAGCUAGUUGGUAAGGUAACGGCUUACCAAGGCAACGAUGCGUAGCCGACGUGAGAGGGUGGUCGGCCGCCCUGGAACUGGGCCACGGUCCAGACUCCUACGGGAGGCAGCAGUAGGGAAUCUUCCGCAAUGGGCGAAAGCCUGACGGAGCAACGCCGCGUGAGUUAAGAAGGUCUUCGGAUCGUAAAACUCUGUUAUUAGGGAAGAACAAAUGUGUAAGUAACUAUGCACGUCUUGACGGUACCUAAUCAGAAAGCAACGGCUAACUACGUG